RNAcentral lists this long non-coding RNA (362 nucleotides) under Triticum aestivum (bread wheat). RNAcentral's name for it is "long non-coding RNA (TAES_LNC002815)". Lineage: Eukaryota; Viridiplantae; Streptophyta; Magnoliopsida; Poales; Poaceae. The record is from RNAcentral.
CUUUCUGAGGACCAGCCGCGUAGCAGUGAGGCAGAGACGAGGGGUUUAACCUCCCUUUUUCAAAGGAAAUAAAAACAAAGCCAUGACUUAACCUGGCCAUUGCAAGCAAACUAACCAUGGAUCACACAAAGUGUAUCACGGGACUAGGCAGAGUAAUGCCGCAUUAACCAGAAACGACAGGAACAAUUGCAGGAUUCAGCAGAGUAACAGGCAAGACCAGCAUCCCAAAAUUCAUUCUUUGCGAAUGAUAUAAACAUCCAUAGUGUACUUCUUGUUCUUCAGUAGCUUGAAGAGGCAGAUAUCUCCCAGCCUCAAAUUGUUCCCACACACAAACUGUCUCCACCCUUUCAAGAGCCUUUUAC